Molecule: unclassified non-coding RNA, 1217 nt
Filed under: Hevea brasiliensis (rubber tree)
Lineage: Eukaryota; Viridiplantae; Streptophyta; Magnoliopsida; Malpighiales; Euphorbiaceae
Source: RNAcentral
CUUUUUAGUUUCUUCUCUCUUCAUCUUCUACCAAAAAACCUGAACUUCUCUGCUUCGUUUUGAUCAGCUUUGACGGACAAAUUCCACUAUAGCACAAGUUUUAUCUGGCACAACUGGUUUUCUCCUUUCCGUUAGAUGGGUGAGAAAGAUUUGGAAAUUGAGGAAACAAGUCCACCAUGUAGAGAAGAUGAAACUAAAACACAAGUUGGAAAAGUAAAAAAGAAGAAGAAGGUGAAGGCUGAAAAGCGUGGAGUUUGUCACGUAAGUAGAGUACCGCCUCGUAUGGACCAUGUGAAACUUCGCCAGGUUCUUUCUCAGUUUGGAGAAAUUCAGAGAAUAUAUCUUGUACCUGAAGCUGCUGCUGCUCAAAUGAAUCGGAAACGGGCAGGUGGAUUCCGAGGACAAGCAUUUUCAGAAGGGUGGGUUGAGUUUACAAAAAAGAGUGUUGCCAAAAGAGUCGCAAAUAUGUUAAAUGGUCAACAGAUGGGUGGAAGAAAAAGGUCAUCAUUCUAUUAUGACAUUUGGAAUGUCAAGUACUUGUCUAAAAUCAAAUGGGAUGAUGUUACUGAUGAAAUCGCACAAAGGCAUGCAGUUCGUGAGCAGAAACUAGCUUUGGAGCUUUCUGCUGCUAAGAGGGAGCGUGAUUUCUACCUUACACAAGUUGAUAAAUCUCGUGCUUUAAGUUCUAUUGAAGAACGAAUGAAGAAGAAGCAAAAGGUGCAACAGGAAUCUGGGGUAAUUUCUGAUUUCCCAAGUGAUCAGUUUGCACCAAAGGUGAUACGACAAUUUCCCCAGAAAAAACCUGUGGCAGAUCAAGCUGGGAAACUCAAGCCUAGUCUGUCUAAGGACGUUUUGGCCGGAGUAUUUGGUGGUCAAUGACAAGGGCGUACCAGUGCAAACAUUUCAGAAAUUGUGCUUCCCAAGUGAUGAGUUGAGGAAAUUAGGUCUCUUUGGAUUGUCUUGGCAUCUAUGAUCAUUCACUUGCCAUCAAAGUUGGAGUCCAUUUUUUCCUAUGGUAUGUAAGCAAAAUGUUGUCCAUUGUUUCUACAAUUCUAACUCAUAUAUUUGCAAGUAGCGUUCAGGUUCGAGCUGUUGAAACAGUCGCAACGUAUGAUUCAAGCACAGGGGAUGAGGGGUUAUGUAUUGAUUGAUGUAUUCUUUUUUUUUAUCUUCUUUUAAUGGAAAUUAAACAACUUCUUUUGAUAGAUGAAUCUUGA